This is a long non-coding RNA of Equus quagga, 1384 nucleotides long. RefSeq lists it as uncharacterized. Lineage: Eukaryota; Metazoa; Chordata; Mammalia; Perissodactyla; Equidae. The record is from RefSeq and is a predicted model, not a curated record. The transcript has 3 exons.
CCUUCCCUCCAUAACUGCUACUCGACGGCCUUAGUUACCCCUCGAGAGCAGAAGAGAGCACGUCUGUGGCCUCUCCCACACGGCCACCCUGGCUGGAGAUGCUUCUCCUGGCUGAAUUCCGCGCUUCCCAAUCCUGGUUCUAUAUUAUAUGGUUCUUUGUGCAACAUGGUUUCCAGAACUUUGCUCCAUUCUCCUGAUGCUCUUUAUCUGGAUCCUGCUAGCUUCCAAUGCUCUUCUUAGAAUGUAGCACAGACACCUGAACACACUCCAGGUGUAGCUUAGCGGGUGCAAAGAACUAGGGGGAUAGUGCUUCAAAGACGUGGCUAUGAUAUUCCUUUAUCGCCUUAGCUGACUGGCAGGCAAAAAUGUGCCUCUCCUCCUCACCUGAGUUCCAGGUGGUUGGGAUUUUAUCCAUGUGCGUAUUUUUGGCAGAGAUUAAAGAGUGGGUCAGAUAAAGAGUGGAGAUCAUUCUUGUCUUCUCUCUCAGAUUACACAGCCCAGUUCUAACAUCAGUUCCCAGACGUGGCCCUCUGGGAAAUUCAGCCUCUCUUUUCCAGAUCCAGCAUCUCUCUGUUCUUCUAGAGACAGUGCUUUCAGAGGGCACUGGAAUCCCAGGAGAAUCAUCUGUGUGAUCAAACUCUCCAAGUGAAACCUCUGCUAAGAAUGCGCGCACCAUAUGUGCUAGCAGCUGUUUUCAAUAAUUUAAUCAGGUUUCUGACAUAGGAUUCAUCAAACUUAACCAGAGGGGCUAUGCCACCACAGAAGAGCAGGAGGCUGAGAACUCUGGGAUGGAGGAUCAACCUGAGCAUCACUAAAAGUGGCACAAGCAGACGUUACGUGUGUCAUGACGUUACAGUAGGACGUGCCUGGAACCACCCAUGAACAAUUCUUGUCUGCAUCACUCUCUGGAUCUAACCAGCAGUUUAUGGGAAACCUGGGGACGAGAGGUACAAGAAACCAUAAGGAAGCAUUCGGCCAAAUCUAGAAUGUGGGACAUUCUACAGGACACAUUUUCAGCUUCUUCAAUAAAUUGCUGGCAUGAAAGAGACAAAAAGAAAGGAUCAUGGUUAUGGAAUGAAGAGACAAUCACACCCCAGGGCCAUGUGUGAACUCUAAUUCAAGGAGACUGUCAAAGACAUCUUUCCCAGUUGUGGAAAUGUGAAUAUGACUGAGUCCUAGAUGAUAUUGAGGAAUUAUUAAUUUUAUUAGAUUUUAUAAUGGUGUGCUGUUUAUGUUUUUUAAAAAACUGUCCUAUGUAUUAUAUUGGAAUAUUUCAAGUGAAAUGACAUGAUCUCUGGGGUAAAUGGGAAGAAAGAACUUUCAUUCACUUAAAAUGAAAGAAGAUUAGCAAAACAUUGAUAAUUGUUGGUUAAUGAGUUCUGAG